CAAAGGUAGCAUAAUCACUUGCCUAUUAAUUGUAGGCUAGAAUGAAAGGAUCAACGAAAUAAAAACUGUCUCAGUUAGUUACCUAAAAAUUAUUUUCUAUCUGAAGAAAGGUAGAUAAUCUCGUAGGACAAGAAGACCCUAUAGAGCUUCAUUUUAAUUAUAGAAUACACUAUAAAAAUAUUCGGUUGGGGCGACCCAGGGCUAAAUAAUCACCCUACAUAUAAAAGAUCAAUAAAUCAAUUAAAUGACCCUUAAAAGAUCAAAAGAUCAAGCUACCUUAGGGAUAACAGGCUAAUCCCACUCAAAAGUCCUUAUCAACAGUGGGGAUUGGCACCUCGAUGUUGGCUUAGGGUAUCUAUAUAGCGCAAAAGUU
RNAcentral lists this ribosomal RNA (373 nucleotides) under Pheretima boaensis. RNAcentral's name for it is "partial 16S rRNA". It matches the Rfam family "Bacterial large subunit ribosomal RNA", at positions 1951 to 2563 of the family's 2925-position model. Lineage: Eukaryota; Metazoa; Annelida; Clitellata; Crassiclitellata; Megascolecidae. The record is from RNAcentral.